CUUAAAACCCAAAGGACUUGACGGUACCCCAUAUCCACCUAGAGGAGCCUGUCCUAUAAUCGAUAACCCCCGCUUAACCUCACCAUUUUUAGCCUAUCAGCCUGUAUACCUCCGUCGUCAGCUUACCACGUGAGCGAAGUUAAGUAAGCUUAAUGUCCAUACGUCAAUACGUCAGGUCAAGGUGCAGUAAAUAAAAUGGGAAGAGAUGGGCUACAUUUUCUAUCAUAGAAUAAACGAAAGACUAUUUAUGAAACCUAGUCAGAAGGCGGAUUUAGCAGUAAAAAGAAACCAGAGAGUUCUUUUUAACCCGGCACUGGGGUGUGU
This 324-nucleotide ribosomal RNA is filed under the name Pelodryas caerulea (White's tree frog). Its description in RNAcentral is "Litoria caerulea (White's tree frog) partial 12S ribosomal RNA". The record is from RNAcentral. Lineage: Eukaryota; Metazoa; Chordata; Amphibia; Anura; Pelodryadidae.